CGUGACUGCUCUCAGACUAGUUAUGCUCCACCUCAGCCCGAGAAGACUUUUGGCUGUGUUAAGCCAUCACGCAAGAUGAUCAGUGUCAAGUCAGCCCCCACUGAACGUGGACGUGUGCAUCACGUCUCAGCUAAAGACGCUCAUGAUGAUCCAGAUGUCGUUCUUGGUACCCUUCUUGUCAAUUGUCACCCAGCAUCAGUUCUAUUCGAUACUGGAGCAUCUCACUCCUUCAUUUCUGAAGGUUAUGCUCGUUUGCACGACAUGUCAUUUUGUGAUAUGCCAACUCCGCUUGAAAUCCAAACCCCAGGGUCUAGAUGGCAGACCACCAGAAUCAGCCAUGGUAACGAAAUCCUUGUUGACAGACUUGUAUUCCUUGCAUCACUUGUAGCCCUCAAGUCUUCAGAUAUUAACAUCAUCUUGGGUAUGGACUGGAUGACAGCUCAUCAUGCCAAGAUUGAUUGUUACACAAGAUCUGUUCAGCUUACACACCCAUCUGGCAAGAUAGUCACCGUCUCCACUAGAGUUGCAAAGCGUCAACUCUAUUCUCUUAAUGCCAGCCCUCUUCCAGACCUUGAA
Molecule: ribosomal RNA, 576 nt
Filed under: Triticum aestivum (bread wheat)
Lineage: Eukaryota; Viridiplantae; Streptophyta; Magnoliopsida; Poales; Poaceae
Description: partial small subunit ribosomal RNA
Source: RNAcentral